Molecule: ribosomal RNA, 1203 nt
Filed under: Triticum aestivum (bread wheat)
Lineage: Eukaryota; Viridiplantae; Streptophyta; Magnoliopsida; Poales; Poaceae
Description: partial small subunit ribosomal RNA
Source: RNAcentral
AUGUGUGGGGGUCUUGGGAUUCAGAUGAGGGGUAAGAGCUCUUUCCCAGCCAUAAUUCUUCCUGAGUCGGUACGAGGGUGGCAGUCGACCUGGUUUUAUUGCGAAGACCAGCCGACUCCAGGUCAGUCGACUGGACUUCCUCCUUUUUCUAUGGCUCGCAUAGAGAAGCCCUCCGCCUUGAAAGUGACUCCAGGGGAGAAAGCGGAGGUGAAAGUGCUGGUUGAGCUAGUGGUCCAUCUCAUCCGUGAGGGUGUAACUGGAAUGGAUUUGCUGGAAGUCUUUCUCAGACGACGCAUUCAGCCACUUCAAGCCCGCGACCAUCCGAUGUGGAUGUACUCGGGCAUUGAAGAUUCCACUCGGGUGCACCCAGAAGAAGUCGACGAGGAUACAGUGGAGAAGUGGUUGAGGAGUAUCACUGGCAACAAGGAUAACCCCAGAGGAGCCAGGAGAAUCCCUCCACUUGACCAAUCCUAUGAACCAGACAAGGCCCUUACUGAAAUGUAUUCGAUGCCCAACAGAGAGCAGGAGCAGGACCCGGAGGGGGAGGCAAGCGGAGGUGAAAGCGGCGAGUGGCAUUCCGACGGAGAGGGGGACGAGGAGAGCGAUGACCCGAGUGACGAAGAAGAGGUCGACUCUCCUCCCCGCAGGGAAAGGCGAUGCAAACUUACUCACGACCCGGCGAGCGCCCGUGACAAGGCGACCGUUCAGACCGGGCAGUCGUCAAAGCGUCCUCGGACAUCCUCUCCGGCACCAACUGAAAAAGCUCCAAAGCAGUCCAAGGUUGUAGUGCAAAAGACUCGGAAGGCGCUGCCGAGAAUCAAAAUUGACGUUCCUGUUGCUUCUGCUGCCGCUACCUCCGAGACCUCUGCUUAUAAAAACGAGGACGAGGAAAUGGAAGAUGCGGUCACCUCCAAUCCGGCUCUCAACGUCAUUAACCUCCCCGACGACGACGAGGACGAACCACAGAGGCCCUUGGGGAGAAGAAACAGGAAAACGUCCGCUGGCAAGACGCUUCAGUCGACGCCGGUGGUGGAACCGGUAGUUCAGGACGCCGGCGAUGCCAAUCGGACUUCCGUCUCCUUCGGCCUUCCGCGUCAGCUGCAUAGGUUCCCGCCGAUCCACCUUCACUUUUUGCUACACAUCACGUCCCAAAGGACCAAGUGGGUGCUGCCAAAGAGGCUAUACGCCAGGCGGGCAUUAUGA